Long non-coding RNA from Aegilops tauschii subsp. strangulata, 2266 nucleotides. RefSeq lists it as uncharacterized. The record is from RefSeq and is a predicted model, not a curated record. NCBI's taxonomy places the organism in Eukaryota, Viridiplantae, Streptophyta, Magnoliopsida, Poales, Poaceae.
GCCGGCAGCCCUCUCCGCCCUCCACUGGUCCUAUCCCUGCCGUUCCUCCAGCACGGCGGCGCCUCUGUCGGCGGCGGAGACGGCCACGGCCACGGCCACGGCCACGAUAGAGGAUGAGAAGGCGGUCGCCGUGCUCACGUGGGACGAUGGAGGACGCCUCGCCAUGGUGCGUGCUCGGGUGAGGGGUAGCGCCCUUCCCGACGGCGGAUGACGAGAAGGUGGCCGCCGUUCUCGCCGCGGCCGUCGAUGCAUAGAGGAGGGGCGGUCAGCACAGAAGCCCAGCUCCAAGAAUGAAGGGGAUCCCCUCCUCACCGCGUUCCCGUCCGCUUCCCUACCCAGCGGACAUCUGGAGGAGGAGGAUAUGCCGUCUCCCUCCUUCCCGUACAUCGAAGGUUAGCUCCACUACACCCAAGAAAAUGCAGGCUCACCGUGCACAACGGCGGAGCAGCAGCCCGCGCCCCUCCUCCCCACCAUGAAACAUCUUCCCUGGGUCGUCAGAUCCGGCCGAGAUCAGAUUCGGAUGUGCUACCACUGGGGCGCAUCCCUUUCUCACGCCCCCACGUCAGCCUCCAUGAUUGUUGCCCUCCUCUUGGCCAUCUUCUCAUGGCUGGCUUCAAAGAUUACACUGGAGGUGGCUUAACUGAAUUCAGAGAAGUUUGGACAUAUACAGUUCCACAAUCAACCAUGUGUAUGUGUUUCAUAAAAUUCCUCAAUGCACUAGCAUCAUUUUUGUUGCAUUGGCUGUUGGUGCAUAACUAAUGAGUCGAUGAUCUUAAUUUUCUAUAAGGCUGAUAAUCCCGACUCUUAUUUUUGACCUUUCUUUACUGUGUAUACCAUGCUAAUUUCAACUGAAUGGACUGCCAAUUUGUCGAUCAGUUUGUGUUAUUUUCACUGAAUUGUUUGUUGAUGUGCGGGAAAAUGUUUGUGGUUGUAGGAUUUUGCUCAUUGGUUCAUUGCUGUCGAUGGAUACUUGCUCCGAGGGUGUGAUCUGCAUCAUCGUCAUGUAAUGUGUCAGUCAUAAGGAUUGUAGUUGUGGCAGUGCAUCGGCGCCAAGGGCAUGUUUCCAUCAGAAUGUUGGAGCAGCUGGCUCAGCCAACCUGAUGAUAGCGUCUCAAAGUGGACUUUUUGAUCAUUUGAUAAAUGUUUGGAAAUUCAAGCCUGGUCCUGUUCUGCAACAUGUGACCUAUUACUUCUUAAUUAAUGGACUUUAAGUUUCAUUCAUCCCUAUAUCGUCAGGUAAUAUAACAAGGUUAUUGUUUAGAUCAUAUAAUCAAGCAUGUCUUCUUUUCGGAAUUUGUGAUUGCCAUGUUUGUUGAAUUAAAGUCCACCUGUCAGAUCAGUUUACACACAUUGAAUUUUACUUAGUGUACCUCUAAGGUUUUACCUUCUGCAAAGGUAUAACACCUACAGAUGAUCCGAUUUUUCUUUUUCUAGAUCCCCAUGUGUGUGUGUGUGUAUGACAUACAUUGUCCUUCUGAUUUAUUUUUCCAGUAGAUGAUUGUGGACAAAGUUUUCCAAUCCAUUCCUUUUUGCUAUACUAAUUUUUGUGGGUGAUGCAACAUAAGUUAUAUAAUUGCUGCACUUAUGUAAUUGAUUUAUCUGGCAAUAGAUUGUCACGAGGAUAGCUCUAACCUAUGUGCCAACAAUCUAAAACAUUGUAGCAUUAUCCUUUACUAAUUUUAAAUGUUUUUGGUGGUUUUUCUCGGAGGUAGCACACUUAGCAUAGCUUUUCAGAAGACAACAGUUCAGUAGGAAGCAGAUGAAUGAAACAUUUUCAUUGUUUUUUUUCUGGUGCAUUUUCAUAGUUUUCUACUCCAUUGUUAUGUACAAACUCACAAGUGGUGCAUAAACGUUUUGUUGUUAUUUAUCCUUUCAUGAGCUGGAUGUGCCAUUGACGGCGGUGGCAAGCUUGGAUUAGUUGGAUUCAGAAGGUGGAGAUGAUGAAUGGUUCCAAGGCUUGGCUGCAGCUAGCUUGAUUUGGAGACAUUCCCUGUUAGGAGUUAAACUUUGGUUGGAGGCAUUGAGCUUUGGCUGUAACAAUCUUUGUUACUUGGUAUACUUCUGUUAGCAUUCACGUGAUCAACUAUCUACCACACUGUUUAAUCUGGGAUUUCCUCCGGUGCCAAAUGUACCAAAUUGUGGUUUGAGUGGAGAUUUGAUCAUUCCUAUAUUGCUAGAUUUAACUUCAAUCUAUGUGUUGCUCUGUAUGUAUCUCUGCAUAAAUGGUUCAUCAUACUAUGAUCUAAUGAAGUGAUUUUAAUUCUGA